GAUGAACGCUGGCGGCGUGCCUAAUACAUGCAAGUCGAGCGAACAGACGAGGAGCUUGCUCCUCUGACGUUAGCGGCGGACGGGUGAGUAACACGUGGAUAACCUACCUAUAAGACUGGGAUAACUUCGGGAAACCGGAGCUAAUACCGGAUAAUAUAUUGAACCGCAUGGUUCAAUAGUGAAAGACGGUUUUGCUGUCACUUAUAGAUGGAUCCGCGCCGCAUUAGCUAGUUGGUAAGGUAACGGCUUACCAAGGCGACGAUGCGUAGCCGACCUGAGAGGGUGAUCGGCCACACUGGAACUGAGACACGGUCCAGACUACUACGGGAGGCAGCAGUAGGGAAUCUUCCGCAAUGGGCGAAAGCCUGACGGAGCAACGCCGCGUGAGUGAUGACGGUCUUCGGAUCGUAAAACUCUGUUAUUAGGGAAGAACAAAUGUGUAAGUAACUAUGCACGUCUUGACGGUACCUAAUCAGAAAGCCACGGCUAACUACGUG
This 497-nucleotide ribosomal RNA is filed under the name uncultured bacterium. RNAcentral's name for it is "partial 16S ribosomal RNA". It matches the Rfam family "Bacterial small subunit ribosomal RNA", at positions 28 to 507 of the family's 1533-position model. The record is from RNAcentral.